This 621-nucleotide long non-coding RNA is filed under the name Ananas comosus (pineapple). RNAcentral describes it as "long non-coding RNA (ACOM_LNC027278)". Lineage: Eukaryota; Viridiplantae; Streptophyta; Magnoliopsida; Poales; Bromeliaceae. The record is from RNAcentral.
ACCUAGACCAUAUCAAAAGAUGAACAUUUUAUGGCUUGGCUAAAUAACAGAAAAUUGAUCAAGUUGAACAACCAAUAGAAAUCAUAUUGAUCGGCAUUAAGUAUCAGAUUAAAAUGGACUGUCUAGAAUAUGCAGGGAAAAUAUGUAACAAAAUGAGCAGAAUUUAUACUAGGGCUAAAUUAUUGGACUCCUAAUAAACAGAAUUAGAGGACUACCAUUAUGUGAUAAUGAUGCAAAAUCAAUAGAAUGGAACAUUCUUGAUUUGUAACUUAAAGGUCAUUCUGAGCAAGAAUACCUCUAUGUUUCCAACAUCCUCCAUUGGUUGCCUGUAAUUAGCUUGACCACUUAAAUAAUCUCCACCAUUCCGCCGAUUUGAAAAUACAGGUGAUGAUGCCCUGAUACUGUGUUCAGGAUUUGAAAAUACAGGUGAUGAUGCCCUGAUACUGUGUUCAGGAGUUGGAAUUGUGUUCUGAAGAUGCUCCGAUCCUGCCUCUUUCAUUGCUAAGGCUGAUUUGAGGCAAGAUAUCUAACAUAAUAGAAGAGGGGGCGAAAAAUUCUAUAAAUUGAAAUAAAAAGAAUUUUUUUUGGAAAAAAGAAUAACAAAAAAAAUAGACUAUGAAC